AGUCGGCCGGUCUGUCGCUUGCGCAGUUUGCGCAGGAGGAAAGUCCGGGCAACGCAGAGCAUCCCACUUCCUAACAGAAAGCCGUCCGCGAGGGUGGAGUAACGCAGAAGAAAAGAACCGCCUGCGGAGUCAUCCGUAGGCAAGGGUGAGAAGGUGGGGUAAGAGCCCACCAGCCUUGUGGCGACACAAGGGCUGUGCGUCUUGGGAGUUGUAAGGUCAUGUAAACCGGCGUUAAGAGAGUUGCUCGCUCCAUGUCGGAGGGUAGACCGCUAAAGCCGCAUGGUGACAUGCGGACGAGAUAAAUGACAGGCGUCCCGUGGCUUCCACGGGAAACAGAACCCGGCUUACAGGCCGGCUGCU
Molecule: RNase P RNA, 360 nt
Filed under: uncultured Bacteroides sp.
Lineage: Bacteria; Pseudomonadati; Bacteroidota; Bacteroidia; Bacteroidales; Bacteroidaceae
Description: Bacterial RNase P class A
Rfam family: Bacterial RNase P class A
About the family: Ribonuclease P (RNase P) is a ubiquitous endoribonuclease, found in archaea, bacteria and eukarya as well as chloroplasts and mitochondria. Its best characterised activity is the generation of mature 5'-ends of tRNAs by cleaving the 5'-leader elements of precursor-tRNAs. Cellular RNase Ps are ribonucleoproteins.
Source: RNAcentral